GCCAGGGUGGCCUAGUAGGUUAAGGCGUUAGACUGAAGAUCUAAAGAUCGCUGGUUCGAUUCCGGCCCCCGGCA
Non-coding RNA from Zophobas morio, 74 nucleotides. NCBI's taxonomy places the organism in Eukaryota, Metazoa, Arthropoda, Insecta, Coleoptera, Tenebrionidae. The record is from the annotation of a RefSeq genome assembly.